This 327-nucleotide ribosomal RNA is filed under the name uncultured eukaryote. RNAcentral's name for it is "partial 18S ribosomal RNA". It matches the Rfam family "Eukaryotic small subunit ribosomal RNA", at positions 1470 to 1796 of the family's 1831-position model. The record is from RNAcentral.
CCCUUAGAUGUUCUGGGCCGCACGCGCGCUACACUGACGAAUGCAACGAGCUUAUAACCUUGGCCGAAAGGUCUGGGUAAUCUCCAAAUUUCGUCGUGAUGGGGAUAGAUUAUUGCAAUUAUUAAUCUUCAACGAGGAAUGCCUAGUAAGCGCAAGUCAUCAGCUUGCGUUGAUUACGUCCCUGCCCUUUGUACACACCGCCCGUCGCUCCUACCGAUUGAAUGGUCCGGUGAAGCGUUCGGACCGUGGCCUUUGGACGGUUCGCCGUCUGUUGGCUGCGGGAAGUUCGUUAAACCUUAUCAUUUAGAGGACGGAGAANUCGUANCA